This 274-nucleotide ribosomal RNA is filed under the name uncultured bacterium. RNAcentral describes it as "partial 16S ribosomal RNA". It matches the Rfam family "Bacterial small subunit ribosomal RNA", at positions 28 to 334 of the family's 1533-position model. The record is from RNAcentral.
GAUUAACGCUGGCGGGAUGCAUAACACAUGCAAGUCGACUGCAUUUAGUUGCAGGGCGGACGGCUGAGUAACACGUUGGUACCUGCCCCGAACUCAGGGAUAACCCGAGGAAACUCGGAAUAAUACCGGAUAUCCCAGUAAUGGGAAAGCUUCGGCGGUUCGGGAGGGACCUGCGGCCUAUCAGCUUGUUGGUAAGGUAACGGCUUACCAAGACUAUGACGGGUACCUGGUGUGAGAGCACGACCGGGCAGAAUGGGACUGAGACACGGCCCAU